CCACACAGUGGUUCCUGUUACCUUCUUGUGCCCCAGGAGAGGCUGCAGAGGGAGGAGGAGGAGCUACAGGAGGACUGCGGCGAGGAGAAGGAGGCGCUGGGGGGAGGGGGUCCGCUGCGCUGCAGGGCAGAACUGGAGCUUCGAGACCUGAAGGUCCAGCGGGAGAAGGAUCGGCUGCUGCUUCGCUGCCUGAAAGAGCGGAAGGAGACCCUGUCCGCAGAGCUCGAGGACACCAGGGACGAGUGCGAGAGGUUCAAGGAGAGCAUCGCCCUCGCUGUAGCGCAGCUCCAGAAGGAGAAGGUCGUGGCAGAGAACGCAAGUCUGAAGGAGGAGGUGGAGGAACUGCUGAAUGUGACGGGUUCUAGAAGGUUCUGCCCCGCUCAUCCAAACCAGCUCGCCAGCAGUACGGCGGCGCUCGUGUCACACGAGGGGUCCGAACGCUGCCCGAAAGGUGGCUUCGCAGGAAACUGGCUCCUCCCGCCUCAUCGAAGACUCGCGGAUCCAUUCAACGAAAGAACAAACGGAGGAGCGAACAAGAAGCGAACGGGAACUUUAUUCAUCCCAGAGGAAAUGCGCACAGAGUAUCCGUACGCUCCUUUCUUGUCAUGUUUUCAGAGGUCUGCUCUCAUAGCUCCGCCCCCCACGGAAGUCCCAGCAGCCCCGUGGUGGCGAACGACGACAACGACGGCGACGGGCUCCUUCGUAUGAAAGACGUCUUCGGACAGCCGUGAGCGACGGAGCGAACCCGGGGACUGGCGCUGGGGUCUAGGCCUGUUCUCCCACCCAAGUAGCAGUCCACACUGUGUCCACGUGCGCGUCACUUGGGUCGCAUGCGUUACUUUGUCCACUGGUGUGUCACGUUGUUCAUGUGUGUAUUACUGCGCCCUUCGGUGCCUUACUUUGUGCACACGUGUUCGUACUGCAGGCCGAUAUUUACUCUCUCGACUUUUUGCUUCCGGUUGCUGCUCUGAGCAACAGGAGGCAAGAGCACGGCCCUCUGCGGGACGUGAUGCUCGUCUCGUAGCGGCGCCGGUGGUUCAGAGAGGACGCCGUGCCGUACGUCAGGAGGACCCUCGUUAAGUGCGGGAUGCAGCUAGACCUGCUGGACUGGAACUGACCGCUGGAAGUGACCUCAGCCCAGAACCCACACCAGCAGUUUGAGAAUUUCAGAUAUUUUAUAAAUUCAGUUUCAGUUUAAACCUUAAUAUCUCUGAAACCCUGCUCUCCAGAGACGCCACCGUUGGCUGUACCUGUACAAAGUGUUCACCUCGAAUGAACCGACAUGACGUCUCAGCUAGUGUUUGGCCAGAGACUCUGAUGCAAAGCGUAAGAAGGUCCUACGAUCCAAUGAGACAAAAACUGAGCUUUCUGUCUAUUUAAAGAAACACUGUUUGCCAUGAGGCAAACCUGCACAUGACCACAAACACACCAUCCCUGCUGUUAAGCCUGGUGGUGGCAGCAUCAUGCUGUGGGGAUGCUUCUUGGCACCAGGGCUUAGAAAGUUUACUGAUAGAGGGUAAAAUGAGUGCAGUAAGUUAAAGGGAAACCAUGGAGGAAAACCGGCUGUAGUCUCCAAGAGAAGUAGGAGAUUAAUUUUACAGCUGGUCUGCGACCCUCGACACAAGGAUGAAGCUAUGCAGGAAUGAGUUAGAAACACGUCUCUGUCCUGGAGUGGCCUGGAGAUCUCAGGCCCGCACUUCACUCCCGGUCGCAACGAGCUGGACAGAACCUGAGCAGUUUUCAUAAAGAAAUGGGCUAAAUUGCAGUGUCAAGAUGUGCAAACCUGGAACAGAUUUCUAUCGAUAAAAUAUAGCUCAUAAAGUGCCUUGACUGAAUAUUGGCUUGUUGGGGUCAAUACUUAUGCACUCGGUUAUUUUGUUCGAUUCUUCUAAUUAAUUCAGAAUUUUUUUCCAGAAAUGCUUUAACACAAAAGACAUUUGUUCUGAUCAGUCACAAAAAAACGUGAUGAAAUGCACUGUGACUCCAGUUUAUGUUAAAAAAAAAAAAAACAUGAAAAAGUUCUGAAAAGUUUGGGGGGGUGAAUGUUUUUUACAAGGGCUGCAAAUGAAAGGACACUUCAGCCCUGAGUGAAUAAAGUGUUAAAUAUUUUCA
Molecule: long non-coding RNA, 2112 nt
Organism: Scleropages formosus (Asian bonytongue)
Lineage: Eukaryota; Metazoa; Chordata; Actinopteri; Osteoglossiformes; Osteoglossidae
Source: Ensembl